AAGUCCACGAUCUUCUGCAUUAAAUGCAUGCACAUGGUCAUGUGCAUGCAUGCUUGUAGAAGAAUAAAGUUGGUCAGCUCUUGUAGGCGCCGAAGUCCCUCUUUCACGGUUUCUCUUGUUUUUAUUGAUAAAGAAAGAGGGAUGGCAGAAUAAAGAAAGAGAGAAGGCAGAAGCUAUUCUAGGUGUGUCAGUGCAUGAUGGUCAUACGCUUGCUUCUCUCCAUGAACAAGAAAUUCGAAGAUGGCCGCCCACCUCAGCUCACGGUUAUCUUCAAGGAUCAUAGGCGCACGUUUGUUGACUCUCUUCCGCCUCAUUAAAUGCUUGCCCAUGCACAUGCACGAUCUGCAUGCAUGCCCGAAAUAUAUGGUGGGCGUUCGGUGCCGAUUACGGCUUGUCUUGUGGGCGCCUGCGCUGCAGCAUUUAAUGAGGCCAUUUAUUUGUUUUGUCUUGUCCUCUGCCGUUCUCCCUAUAUAAGGAGAAGACGUCUGAAGAUGCGAAAGACACAGAGAGCAAAAACAGAAAAGAGCUCGAGAGAGAGCGAGAAGAAAGAGCUCGAGAGAGUGUGAGAGACGAGAGAGCUCAGAGAGGUUUUGUGCUGAGUUGAGUCCAGUGAGUUGUUUUAUUAAACACCGUGGGUAUCGGGUAUAAAGUAGAGCUGGGAAACACUUGAGUGCAUAUGUGUGAUUGUAAUCCUGUAAUUCUCCGAUUUAUAGUGGAUUGAUUUGCUGGCUCUCCC
RNAcentral lists this long non-coding RNA (736 nucleotides) under Eucalyptus grandis. RNAcentral describes it as "long non-coding RNA (EGRA_LNC006411)". The record is from RNAcentral. Lineage: Eukaryota; Viridiplantae; Streptophyta; Magnoliopsida; Myrtales; Myrtaceae.